Molecule: long non-coding RNA, 1537 nt
Filed under: Cricetulus griseus (Chinese hamster)
Lineage: Eukaryota; Metazoa; Chordata; Mammalia; Rodentia; Cricetidae
Description: lncRNA (ENSCGRG00015041909.1)
Source: RNAcentral
AGGGGACACUGUCGCACCGCUGAGGGCUCAGGAUCCACCGGCAGAGUCGAACUGCAAGAACUGAGCUUGUCCAACAUCCUCCGGGAUUUUAUUUUAUUUUUCUAUCUUCCUUCCCUUCUAUAAAUGAUCCUGGAAUUUUACCUGCCCUCAUGAAAUGAGCCGCCCUCAGCAGCUUCUUCCAUCCUGCCGUCCUACGCCAGAGAAGAAAAGACCCAGCACCAGGAAAUAAAGAGUGCCCAAAUCUUCACCCCUGUUUCAGAUGUUCAGUCCAUUUUCAUCAUGGCAGGGAGCACUGUGGCAGAUGUGGUGCUGGAGCUGAGAGUGCUGCUUCUUACAGGGAACAAGAAGUCAAUUGAAAGUCACCCUGAGGCAAGCAUGAGCAAAAGAGACCUCCACACAGCUGCUUCUUGCCAUGGCAGUUGGCUUUCCCCAAAAUGGAACUCUGGAUGCUGCCUCACCACUGCUGUUGCUGUCAUGGUUAAUCUGCUGUAUCUUCUUCAUGUUACCAGCUCAGCCUACACAUGAUAAAGGUCAGAUCCAAUUUCUUCCUGUGACAACCAUCUUACAAAUGUCUCCCAAUGGAUCUCCUCAUAGUCACAUCUUUGAGUUCCGUCUGCAGGAAAUGUUUGCAUCCCUACAAAAGAAGAGGCAGUUGGACUGAGAAGACAGCUCAGCAGGUGAAGAGCUUGCCACAGGAGCACGAGGACCUGCGUUUCAUCUUCGGCACCCACAUAAAGCCAGGCACAACAGUACACACCUGUAAUCCCCGCACUGACCAGAGGAUACUUAGGGCUUGCUGGCCAGCCCGUUUAACUGAAUUGGUAAUCUCCAGAUUCAAAAAGAGACCCUAUCUCAAAAAAUAUCUUGGAGAGUGAUUAAGGACACCUGACAUCACCCUCUGGCCUUCACAUACCCGCACAUACACGUGCACACAAACAUAGGACACAGAAGCACAUACUCACAAGAGGGGGGAAAGAAGGAAGAGCAGAGAGGAGAUGCCUGAGCUCACUGACUUCCACACACCAAGCAAAGGCCAGGGAACACACAGAAACACUGGCCACCCACAAGCUGGGAGGAGAGGCCUCAGAAUAAAACCUGCCUCACUGACCUUAAAUCUCUCAGCCUCCAGAACAGGACAUUCCUGUUGUUGAAGCCACCUGACUGUAGGCAUCUUGCUGUAACUUAGCAGCUGGCUGGGGUCCCUUGCUCCACUCAAAUAGAAAUUAUGAUUAGAGAGAAAUAGAUAUCCUUGUGUUGGCAGACCUAGGCCCUUGAGUGCCAAAGGCUUGUGGGCUGGGUUGCAGACUUGGAGCGUUCUAGCUGAUCCUGAAUGUCUCAAUUAAAAAAAAAAAAAAAAAAAAAAAAAAAAAAAAAAAAAAAACCAAUGUUUAUUUUAAGCAUUGAGUUUGCUAUAAUUUCUUCUUCUUCCUUCCUUUUUUUUAUGUGUAUGUAUGUAUGUAUGCCUGAGUAUGUAUAUGCAUGCUUCAUUUAAUUCUCACAAAACUCCAUGAACAGCUACUGUUAUCCCAUUCUGCAG